ACUCAAAUGAAUAGACGGGGGCCCGCACAAGCGGUGGAGCAUGUGGAUUAAUUCGUCACUAACCGAAGAACCUUACCCAGGUUUGACAUCCUAGGAACCUCGAUGAAAGUUGAGGGUGCUCGCAAGAGAGCCUAGAGACAGGUGUUGCAUGGCUGUCGUCAGCUCGUGUCGUGAGAUGUUGGGUUAAGUCCCGCAACGAGCGCAACCCUCACCGUAUGUUGCCAGCGUCAAGUCGGGAACUCUUACGGAACUGCCCGUGUAAGCGGGAGGAAGGUGGGGAUGACGUCAAGUCAGCAUGGCCCUUACGCCUGGGGCUUCACACAUGCUACAAUGGGUGGCAACAAAGGGCUGCUAAAUCGUGAGAUCAAGCAAAUCCCAAAAAUCCAUCCUCAGUUCGGAUUGUAGGCUGCAACUCGCCUACAUGAAGCCGGAAUCGCUAGUAACCGCAGGUCAGCUAAACUGCGGUGAAUACGUUCCCGGGCCUUGUACACACCGCCCGU
This 500-nucleotide ribosomal RNA is filed under the name uncultured bacterium. RNAcentral describes it as "partial 16S ribosomal RNA". It matches the Rfam family "Bacterial small subunit ribosomal RNA", at positions 899 to 1397 of the family's 1533-position model. The record is from RNAcentral.